CAGGACAUCCAGCGACGGGAGCAGCCAGACCCGAGCCCUAACCGAGCUCCUAUCACAGCUGCCCUGGGGAAUCCAACACAUGUUUCUGUACGCGAUCACUGACAAGAUACUCUCAUGCAAGGUAUUUCCGAACACUCACAAGGUUCUCAUUAGGAUCUGCACAAAGCUGGGAAAGAAGGACUGGACCAUUUACUUUACUGUGGCUGAGCGGGUUACAGAGAUUUCACUAGAGAAUCCCAGCAAAGCUGUGCUGAGGGAAUGCUUGGAUUUCCUCAAGCUGCUGUGGGAGCUUGGAACAGAGCA
This is a long non-coding RNA of Callorhinchus milii (elephant shark), 303 nucleotides long. RefSeq lists it as uncharacterized. Lineage: Eukaryota; Metazoa; Chordata; Chondrichthyes; Chimaeriformes; Callorhinchidae. The transcript is spliced from 3 exons. The record is from RefSeq and is a predicted model, not a curated record.